Anas platyrhynchos (mallard) is the source of this 2159-nucleotide non-coding RNA. Lineage: Eukaryota; Metazoa; Chordata; Aves; Anseriformes; Anatidae. The record is from RefSeq and is a predicted model, not a curated record.
AAAUAAUUGGAGUGUUCCUCGAGGACCACUUUUGACCCUUGGUUCUCCAGGGGCUGGUGGUGGCCAAAUCCUAUUUUUGUCCCUCAAAAUACCACAAACGCUUCUGACUGACCGGGUCUGCCUGCUGUAAGCUUGCAAGCUGCAGGGCUCUGCUUUGCUGCCUUUAAAGCUGCUGGUUUUAACAGUGGCAGGAAGAUCAGGACCUAACAGAUGUAAAAGCCUCUGCCCCAGGAUCUGCAUUUUGUGCCCGUGAGGUCUGGGUGCAUCACCAACCCACAGCCCAAGGGCUCGCAGCGCGUGGCUUAGCUUUGACCAGGACCCACAACCACAACGUGCAGAAAAUCUUUUAAAAACUCAUUUUUUGCCAAGUCUUUUGAAAAACACAUUAACUGGAAGCAGACUUUUUUUUAUUGACAAUGGCUACUGUAUAAUGGCAGCAGGGAAUGGGCCCGCAUUAAAUCCUGAGCGUAACUUUGUGUUAAUGGGAUCUUUUCACCACCAGCCACAAAGAGGAGAAAGCCUCCAGCGAAGGUGCAAGGUCCUGAGUCCUCCACUGAUCUAAAAAUAUUCGGGGCUGCUUGAGAAGAGGUCGGCUCCCCCAGGACUUUACGCUGCUCGUGGUGAUGACGUCUGCUCUCGUGUCACGUAAGGAGCAAGGCUUCUACAGCUUGGGGUGAAUUUCUGCACUUUAGACUCUACGUGAAAAUGUAAAUGAUCGACCUUGCUUCCAAAUAAUUGCAGUUUUCCACCAUAUGUUGCUGAACUAACACGAAGCUAUUUUGGUGAGCGUACACGUGCUUUGCAGCUAUAGGGAACGAAGGUGCCUCCGAGAGCUCCCUGCCUCCCUCCAGGGGUAAAGAAGCCAUCACAAGCCUCUAGCUUUAGAGAUUCUUAUUUUCAUUAGCUUUUAUUUAAAGAAAUCGCUUGAAAGUAAAGUUCUGGGGGAAAAAGAAGAAGCCUUCCUAAGCACAGGGUCUGGAGCAUCGCAGUUCUGAGUAAACGUUUCUGGCUGAGCUAUAAAGCGCCGGUAAUGGGAACGCUGACAGCCCGUUACCCACAGUGGUCCCAGCUGGCCCCGCUGAUAAUAAAUUACACGAAACGAGGAGCAAACAGGACUCUGAUUCACCCGGGCUGUGGGCAACAGAGUGGUAAAAACAAGUCGGGUUUCAGCACUGCCUCGUGUUUGUUUUUUUUUUUUAUGAUUAUUAUUUUUUUAUUUUUAUUUUCCCAGCUGGUAUUUUGACCCAAAGGCUGGAGUGUUUUGAAUUACUGGUGUGUGUGUGUGUUAAGACGUUAUACUGUGAAUAUUUCAACAUAUAUGAAUCUUUAAUACGCCACCGCUCAGCUUAGCUCAGGAAAUUUGAAAAUUAUCUGUGUAGCGACUACACAGCUUUCAUAAAAACAUUGUUAUACGAUGUACCAGCAAAACAACAAGCUUAAAUUUGCCAUAGUACUGGCUGCAUGCUUGCAAUCAAUUUAGCUUUGUACAAAUGCAAAAAUGUUCCCCGUGGGAAUGUGCCGGAGAUCCGAUUUUUCCAGUGCCUAUGGAACGCUGUAAAGGGAUCAAAAGUGACCCCAAGCAGCAUGCAUAUGGAUGUUUCACUGCACAGCCUAUUAAAAUGUUCCCAAUUUAAAAUACCUCUGCCCAGACAAGUCCAGAUGCUUCGAUGCUGUCAGCACAAACGUGACAAAACGGGGACCGGUUUGGGAUCAGCGCAUCCCCAGCUCGGCUGGGUCAAGCCAGGCACCGGCGCUGCGCCGCGAGCAUCUCCGCAGCACAGCACAUGCUAAUGAGCUCCAUUAUUUAAUAAUAAACAGCAACAUUUAAUUAGCGCAACCAUUACUAUGCAUAAAGGGCUUUAAUUACACGGCAGGCUGGUGGAAAUACGCCAGUUUGGGGUGAGGUUGAUCGGCAGGCCCCACUCCAUCAGUGCACCAAAAUGGGCUGCUGCCUUCGGUGCCUCCUCUCGCUGCUCCGUUACAUGCUGAAAUUGUGUUUUCUUGGGGAUUUUUGGGUGGAAGGGGACAUUCCCAGUCUCGAUUGCCUCCAUGGAGGGCUGGUGCUGGUGCUGGAUGGGAAGGGGUCCCGUCGGAGCCUGGAGCAGAGCUUGCCACUAACACGGCCGCUCCUGCCCUGCUGCAGGUCCCCAGCUGGAAAA